Molecule: ribosomal RNA, 423 nt
Filed under: uncultured bacterium
Lineage: Bacteria
Description: bacterial SSU rRNA
Rfam family: Bacterial small subunit ribosomal RNA
Source: RNAcentral
AUUGAACGCUGGCGGCAUGCCUUACACAUGCAAGUCGAACGGCAGCACGGGAGCAAUCCUGGUGGCGAGUGGCGAACGGGUGAGUAACAUAUCGGAACGUGCCCAGUAGUGGGGGAUAACCGGCGAAAGCCGGACUAAUACCGCAUACGACCUACGGGUGAAAGCAGGGGAGUCGCAAGACCUUGCGCUAUCGGAGCGGCCGAUAUCAGAUUAGCUUGUUGGUGGGGUAAAGACCUACCAGGGCGACGAUCUGUAGCUGGUCUGAGAGGACGACCAGCCACACUGGGACUGAGACACGGCCCAGACUCCUACGGGAGGCAGCAGUGGGGAAGUUUUGGACAAUGGGCGCAAGCCUGAUCCAGCCAUGCCGCGUGCGGGAAGAAGGCCUCGGUUGUAAGACGACUUAAGUACGAGGAGGAAGGG